CAUCUUUUUCAGGUAUUGAUAUCAAUUUCACGCUGCCCCAUAUUUUAGGUUUUUGUCACAGAAGCUCUCCAGUUUGGGUUCCAAUAUCAAACAAUUCAAUCUUAGGAGGCUUGGGGCAAGGGAGGGAGCAGGUGCCUGGAGGACAGGAGGGAAUACAAAGUCCUGAUUCACUUUCCGUUCCCCUCCAGCUGCUUAGUGUUGGGCCAGGAAAUUUCCCAGCUUGUCAUCCUAUUGGACAGAAACUUCAGCCAGUUCUUGGGAUUCCAUGUCUAAUGAGUGCCAGGGCUCAUUAAAGCUUCAUUAAUAGUCUCCUGGUUCUUUGGGUUUCUAUUCAGUACAACCGAAAUAGUGCUUAGAUCUGGAGAAAACAGCUACAUCUCUAUGUUUCAUUAGCCUGAGUUCCCUCAAAGGCACAGCUAUAAACAAAGACUUGCAAGGCAACUAAUGUGAUCUCAGGAAUUUGAGGGUGAGGUGGGCUUAACAGGAAAAUAAGGAAAACAAAUUAAAAGAUUCGUUGCUUCAUUACUAACCAGGCUGGGACACCAGUAUUUGAUCCUGUAGGACACUCUGAGAAGGCUUAUGAAAAGCGUGUCAGAACUUGCAGCCCAGGGAAUAGUAUUUAUCCAUUAGCUUCUGUUCCAAUUGGUCAAGAGGAAGUCAUUGAAAUCACUACAUCCCCAUGAGAAGAACACCAGGAUCCAAGAGACAGAUU
This 712-nucleotide long non-coding RNA is filed under the name Equus caballus (horse). RNAcentral describes it as "lncRNA (ENSECAG00000055477.1)". The record is from RNAcentral. Lineage: Eukaryota; Metazoa; Chordata; Mammalia; Perissodactyla; Equidae.